Molecule: long non-coding RNA, 242 nt
Filed under: Zostera marina
Lineage: Eukaryota; Viridiplantae; Streptophyta; Magnoliopsida; Alismatales; Zosteraceae
Description: long non-coding RNA (ZMAR_LNC004007)
Source: RNAcentral
UUUGAAACGGUCCGUCUUGCGGACUGUUUACGUCACAUGGGGGAACUGCGAUCGUUCGGCGAUGGGUUCACUGAAUCGUUCUGGCGUUCACUGAAUCACUGAAUCGUUCGGCGAUGGGUUCCGAUCGCGUUCCGAUGGGUUCACUGAAUCACUGAAUCGUUCGGCGAUGGGUUCACUGAAUCACUGAAUCGUUCGGCGAUGGGUUCCGAUCGCGUUCCGAUCGCGUUCCGAUCGCAGUUGGG